Non-coding RNA from Ictidomys tridecemlineatus (thirteen-lined ground squirrel), 73 nucleotides. NCBI's taxonomy places the organism in Eukaryota, Metazoa, Chordata, Mammalia, Rodentia, Sciuridae. The record is from Rfam.
GGGGAUGUAGCUCAGUUGGUAGAGUGCUUGUCUUGCAUGCACAAGGCACUGGGUUCAAUACCCAGCACCACCA